Molecule: non-coding RNA, 1280 nt
Organism: Danio rerio (zebrafish)
Lineage: Eukaryota; Metazoa; Chordata; Actinopteri; Cypriniformes; Danionidae
Source: RefSeq, a predicted model, not a curated record
UUGACCGCUGAACACAGUAAAGGUAAUUUUGGCAGACUUUGUCAAAUUAAAAACAUUAACUCAGCUACCUGUUUCUUCAUGUUAAAUGCUAUUAUUAGCGCGUUACCUGUUUUCACCUUCAUACUCUGGUUUCAUUCACAAACACAUCACAAUCAGUAACGUUAGUUCUAACAAAUCGUAAAUUAACCAAUAGUUUUAAAGCUCUUUCUCUUUUGUGGUGUUGCUUGUCAUUUAGCCAGAGGUGUCAGUGAUUCAGUAAAUCACUCAUGCUUUAAAUUUUAUGUGGAGAACUGGUAAGUUACUUAGUUGCUUUCUAACUUGUUUAGAGCUGAAAUUUUGAUAUAAACAGUGGUGCUGUUCUCAGUAUUUAUGCAUAAUUUUUUUAGUACCAUACCAUUUAUACAACCAUUUAUCCAAACCAAGUGAUACAGGAUCAAGCGAUUGGCCAUCACGAAAGUUUGCUUUAUGGCGACUGGCCUCUCUGUUGUCCUGGAUGUGAUGAAAUGCUGGGACUUCCUUUGUCUUUAUUGAAUUUUUUGUGAGCAGUAUCCAGCCGUACGGGCAGCACUAAGAGUCAGGUAUACGCACACGGACCCUUACUAGUACCUGAUUGGACCCCCUUUUGCCUUCCGGACUGCCUUAAUCCUUUGUGGCAUAGAUUAAACAAGUUUCCACUCUGGAGGAAUCUGGAGUCUUUACCUCUGCACUAUAGGAACGCUGAAGAAGAUGAAAUGCUGAAAAACUUUGUCCUACAUCGAUCCUCCAUGAAAAGAUAAAGAGUAAGGUGUCCUACAGAGAUCAUUGUCCUCUCUUCCUCAAAAGAGCCUAUCUCCGGUUGGUUUGGGUGAUGGCGUUCAGGAUGAAAAAUGCUCCAAGAUCUUUUCACAGUGUUGGCUGGUGUUCCCAAUCCCGAAGCAUACUUGGAUGAUGUGGUUUUAUACAGCUCCACAUGGCUGGAACACAUAAUUUAACUGGCAGAGGCUAAGCUUACUUUGAACUUGGCAAAUGUGAAUUUGGUAAAGCCGCUCUUGUCUAUUUGGGUAAAGUAACUGGUGGUGGUGAAGUGUGCCCAUUUGCUGCUAAGGUUAUGGUUAUUUGUGAUUUUUCCUCGUAAGCAAAUAUGUUGUUUUUUAGGUAAGGUAGGUAACUACCAUUCGUUUUGUAUGAAAUUUGUCAUGGUUGUUUCUCUUUUAACUGACCACCUAAGUCUGACGAUUGAGUUUGAGUGGUCCGAUGCAUGCCAGUAUGCAUUUGAGAAUAUUAAAUCCUUACUGAUUUCA